Molecule: ribosomal RNA, 425 nt
Filed under: uncultured prokaryote
Description: bacterial SSU rRNA
Rfam family: Bacterial small subunit ribosomal RNA
Source: RNAcentral
UCGAGAAUUUUUCACAAUGGGCGCAAGCCUGAUGGAGCGACGCCGCGUGGGGGAUGAAUGGCUUCGGCCCGUAAACCCCUGUCAUUUGCGAUCAACCGUUAUUAUUUAAAAGAUGAUGACCUGAUAGUAGCGAAAGAGGAAGGGACGGCUAACUCUGUGCCAGCAGCCGCGGUAAUACAGAGGUCCCAAGCGUUGUUCGGAUUCACUGGGCGUAAAGGGUGCGUAGGUGGCGAGGUAAGUCGGAUGUGAAAUCUCCAAGCUCAACUUGGAAAAUGCAUUGGAAACUACCUUGCUCGAGGUUUGGAGGGGGGACUGGAAUACUUGGUGUAGCAGUGAAUGCGUAGAUAUCAAGUGGAACACCAGUGGCGAAGGCGGUUUCCUGGUCUGAUACUGACGCUGAGGCGCGAAAGUGUGGGGAGCAAACA